GGGAGCCUGAAUCGUGCAGAUUCCGCCUUACAAGCGAGGGGUCACUGGUUCGAUCCCAGUUGCGCCCACCA
This 71-nucleotide transfer RNA is filed under the name Actinomycetota bacterium. RNAcentral describes it as "Actinobacteria bacterium (soil metagenome) tRNA-Val". Lineage: Bacteria; Bacillati; Actinomycetota. The record is from RNAcentral.